RNAcentral lists this long non-coding RNA (1209 nucleotides) under Anas platyrhynchos platyrhynchos (common mallard). Its description in RNAcentral is "lncRNA (ENSAPLG00000025728.1)". The record is from RNAcentral. Lineage: Eukaryota; Metazoa; Chordata; Aves; Anseriformes; Anatidae.
CUAAUGAACAAAUGAACCUAGCCCAUAUUUCACUGGAAGACGGCUCAAAGAAAAGCUGAUGUAGCUAAUAGAAGUAUCAGCUGAGAGGCAGAAGCUGCUGCUAUCUUUGGGAAGUCUGAAACCCUGUUACAGUGGUUUGCAUGGCCGAGAUGGACUAGGAAGUUUGCUUGGCCUGGGUAUGUAGUGUCACCCGAGCCAAGGUCUGGUCACUGGGAUCCCAGCAAUAGAAGCCCUGUAUCUUGGAAACUCUUAAGAAUUAUUAGUGUGGCAUUCAAACAUUAUUUUCUUCAGCUAGCAAGCGGUUUCCUGAUGAUGCUUUCAAAACUGGGAACUUGAUUCUGCUUUAUUGUGUAAGUAUUGCUAUAUGCUGCGUUUUUCAGCAUUUCUGUCAGCCAACUGAUACAGCCCUUCAUAGCUCUUUGGGUGUGCUACAUAGUCACCUACGAUGCCAUGAAAUAGUAAGGCAGUGGGAAAGCAAGGGAAAUUGCUUGCUUAUUGAAAAUGUUUCUUAGCAAUCUUUAUUUGUGUCAAAGAGAUUAAGAAUGCUCCUAACGCUGCUCAAACAAAACUCAGUCUAUUCCUCCCUCAAAGUUUUCAUCCACUUCAUUGCAGUUACUUUAGCGGGGGUUUGCACUGUUGCUUAACUAAGCAGACCUGUGGCUCUGGAAUAUGAUAGAUGAUUAUCUUUUUGUAGCUAUAAAUUAUAGUUAUUUGACAGAUUUUUUUUUAAUGGCUUAAAUUACAGUAUGCUUAUCUCAGAGAAUGGAAAAAACUUCUUUUCUCCAAAAUGUCCAUCAGGGGUACUGAGCAAGGGCAGUAUUGAAGUCUCUAAUUAAUAUGGCACAAUCAAAAGCUCAUCUUUACUUUCAGGUGCUUCUAGCAGUUUUAAGGCUUUAUCAUCCAAAUUGUUGCCAGUGUGAAAGAAAAUUACCUUAAAGUAUUGUCUGGCUAUUCACAUACAAAACAAACCAGAAGCAAUCUUGUAGAUAAUGAAUGGUGCUUAUCUUCAGGUUACUUUAAGAAUGGGUAUGAGAACAGUUGCAAAAGUUCCUUGGAUGUAUUAAUUAUGUUAUCAACUUAGAGAAGAUGGCAGAUCUUAGAAAAGAAAUGGAGAGAUGCUUGUCUUUCCUCUCCCGUCUUUAACAACGAAGUACUAGACACUGUAGAAACGCUUUUUUUUUUUUUUUUUUUUUUUUUUCAGUACAAGUA